Non-coding RNA from Pelobates cultripes (western spadefoot toad), 1415 nucleotides. NCBI's taxonomy places the organism in Eukaryota, Metazoa, Chordata, Amphibia, Anura, Pelobatidae. The record is from the annotation of a GenBank genome assembly.
AGGAGGCUGGCAAGCAGGCCUCUCCAGGACCAAGUGGCGAAGGGCACUUCGUCACAUAGCCGAUUUCGGCUCCACACGCUCGACGACCAAACACCGCUGGUGAGACAAAGGAUCCAAGAUGGCCGGCCGCUGCGUGGUCGGUAGCCGAACGACGACCACCUAGGAAAGUCUUUAUGUGUGGGCUAUUAGGGGGUAGCUCAUUCGGUUCAUGAACAGCCCGUAUAGUCGCUGUUCGUGAAACGAAAUACAUGAAUGCUAGUGCCUUUUGGCUGCUAGCAUACAAAUUCUAUGCAAAAAGACAGUGUAGACCCAGGUUAUACAUAUUUUACAGCGGUUAGUACAGACAACCUUUUUAUACAUAUAGUCCAGCAUCCUACAAGUGGCUAGGUUUGCCACAAGGCUUUUCGUGCCAUUCCAGAUGAGGAUAUUGCUGAUUACAGUGUUGUGAAAGAAGCUCUGUUAACAAGGUAUUGUUACAAAGACUCGAUAUGACUUUAUUAUUGUUACCACAUCUUGUUACUGUUGCAUCCCUAUAUUAUUGACCCAGAGAAAAUACGAAUCCUUAUAACGAACGAUUCGUGGUACGAACGAGAGACCCCCCACUUAACCUCAUCACCCCUCAAAGUACCGAAUGACCGACCACCCGACAAGCGGAGGGUGUCGCCCAUUAACCCCCCAGGCUGCUGCGGUCUGCGGUUAACCACAAACAAAAUUGACGGGCACAGAGGAUCGCAUACAAAUUACCGAAUGGAAACUACCGAAGAACUCCCGAACGGAGACCUCCUACAGUGGGUCGUGUGGCAGCGAUUAGAAUGUGGUUUCUGCGGUUGACCGCAACUCAAGUACCGUGCUACCGAGCGGUCUCAAUUCAUAUACCGAACAAUUUCCACUACCAGACAGACAGCGGGGAUUCGCAUGAGCACAUAUCCGAUUUCAGUUCCAUAAGUUGGAGUCGAGGUCCCGCUGCUCAUUAAACCGCCUAAAAACAUGGCCGCCAGGGACUCACGACCAAAGUACCGAACAGACUUUAUACGGCAGAAAUUGCUCAUUCCGUUCGCGGGGUCUGAGCGCCAUUCGUAUAUUUAAUGUAUCCGAACUCAAGCUAUUGAAUGAAUGGUAGAAUGAACCGUUUUCCCCUACUAAUAUUGAAGUUAUGUAUUUUUAUACAGUUUUAUGAGGCAUAAUAAAACGUGGUCUUUUGUGCGCUUGGAGAUGAUUAGAUUGUAUAACCGUUGGCCUCAUUAUCUCCAAGCUGGGUGGGUACUAAUUCAAAUGAUACAUUGUACUGUGAUUGGUUACCUGUUUGUACUGUACCUGUAUUCCAUCAGGUCCAUAGGGGGCUGUCCUUGGACCUGAGGAAUUGCAUAAAUUGCCAUGUUUGUGUGCCAGUAAAGCCAGUUCAUUUUGACCCUCAA